This 253-nucleotide ribosomal RNA is filed under the name uncultured bacterium. RNAcentral describes it as "partial 16S ribosomal RNA". It matches the Rfam family "Bacterial small subunit ribosomal RNA", at positions 524 to 776 of the family's 1533-position model. The record is from RNAcentral.
UACGGAGGGCGCUAGCGUUGUUCGGAAUUACUGGGCGUAAAGCGCGCGUAGGCGGCUUUGUAAGUUAGAGGUGAAAGCCCGGGGCUCAACCCCGGAACUGCCUUUAAGACUGCAUCGCUUGAAUCCGGGAGAGGUGAGUGGAAUUCCGAGUGUAGAGGUGAAAUUCGUAGAUAUUCGGAAGAACACCAGUGGCGAAGGCGGCUCACUGGACCGGCAUUGACGCUGAGGUGCGAAAGCGUGGGGAGCAAACAGG